ACUCUCUGUGAUGCUUCAUAACCUACAUUGGUUGAGUUAAUUCCAAUGAGAACUCUCAUGCACUACCAUCUGAGACAGU
RNAcentral lists this small nucleolar RNA (79 nucleotides) under Hucho hucho (huchen). Lineage: Eukaryota; Metazoa; Chordata; Actinopteri; Salmoniformes; Salmonidae. The record is from RNAcentral.